UGGGGAAUAUUGGGCAAUGGGCGAAAGCCUGACCCAGCGACGCCGUGUGGGCGAUGAAGGCCUUCGGGUUGUAAAGCCCUGUGAGGUGGAAAGAAGGGUCCAGAGGUUAAUACCCUUUGGACUUUGACGGUACCACCAGAGGAAGCACCGGCUAACUCCGUGCCAGCAGCCGCGGUAAUACGGAGGGUGCCAGCGUGGUUCGGAAUUACUGGGCGUAAAGGGCGCGUAGGUGGUUGUGUAAGUCAGAUGUGAAAUCCUUAGGCUUAACCUGAGAACUGCAUCUGAGACUGGAGGACUCGAGGACAGCAGAGGGAAACGGAAUUCCUGGUGUAGAGGUGAAAUGCGUAGAUAUCAGGAGGAACACCGGUGGCGAAGGCGGUUUCCUGGGCUGAUACUGACACUGAGGCGCGAAAGCGUGGGGAGCAAACA
This 429-nucleotide ribosomal RNA is filed under the name uncultured prokaryote. RNAcentral's name for it is "bacterial SSU rRNA". It matches the Rfam family "Bacterial small subunit ribosomal RNA", at positions 355 to 774 of the family's 1533-position model. The record is from RNAcentral.